AGAGUUUGAUCCUGGCUCAGAAUUGAACGCUGGCGGCAUGCCUAACACAUGCAAGUCGAACGGCAGCAUGAGGUGUAGCAAUACACCUUGAUGGCGAGUGGCGGACGGGUGAGGAAUGCAUCGGAAUCUGCCCAGUCGUGGGGGAAAACGCAGGGAAACUUGCGCUAAUACCGCAUACGACCUUCGGGUGAAAGCGGGGGAUCUUCGGACCUCGCGCGACUGGAUGAGCCGAUGCCGGAUUAGCUUGUUGGCGGGGUAACGGCCCACCAAGGCGACGAUCCGUAGCUGGUCUGAGAGGAUGAUCAGCCACACUGGGACUGAGACACGGCCCAGACUCCUAUGGGAGGCAGCAGUGGGGAAUAUUGGACAAUGGGGGCAACCCUGAUCCAGCAAUGCCGCGUGUGUGAAGAAGGCCUUCGGGUUGUAAAGCACUUUUAUCGGGAACGAAACAUUGUCGGCCAAUACCCGGCAAGACUGACGGUACCCGAGGAAUAAGCACCGGCUAACUCCGUGCCAGCAGCCGCGGUAAUACGGAGGGUGCAAGCGUUAAUCGGAAUUACUGGGCGUAAAGCGUGCGCAGGCGGUUUGUUAAGUCUGCUGUGAAAUCCCCGAGCUCAACUUGGGAAUUGCAGUGGAUACUGACAGGCUGGAGUACGGUAGAGGAAGGUGGAAUUCCCGGUGUAGCAGUGAAAUGCGUAGAGAUCGGGAGGAACACCAGUGGCGAAAGCGGCCUUCUGGACCAGUACUGACGCUCAUGCACGAAAGCGUGGGGAGCAAACAGGAUUAGAUACCCUGUAGUCCACGCCCUAAACGAUGCGAACUGGAUGUUGGGUACAUUACGGUACUCAGUGUCGAAGCUAACGCGUUAAGUUCGCCGCCUGGGGAGUACGGUCGCAAGACUGAACUCAAAGGAAUUGACGGGGCCCGCACAAGCGGUGGAGUAUGUGGUUUAAUUCGAUGCAACGCGAAGAACCUUACCUGGCCUUGACAUCUGUCGAAUCCUGCAGA
This 1008-nucleotide ribosomal RNA is filed under the name uncultured bacterium. RNAcentral describes it as "bacterial SSU rRNA". It matches the Rfam family "Bacterial small subunit ribosomal RNA", at positions 8 to 1004 of the family's 1533-position model. The record is from RNAcentral.